GACGAACGCUGGCGGCGUGCUUAACACAUGCAAGUCGGACGGAAAGGCCCUGCUGUUGUGGGGUGCUCGAGUGGCGAACGGGUGAGUAACACGUGAGUAACCUGCCCUUGACUUGGGGAUAACUUCAGGAAACUGGGGCUAAUACCGGAGAGGAGCUCCUGCUGCAUGGUGGGGGUGGGAAAGUUUCGGCGGUUGGGGAUGGACUCGCGGCUUAUCAGCUUGUUGGUGGGGUAGUGGCUUACCAAGGCUUUGACGGGUAGCCGGCCUGAGAGGGUGACCGGCCACAUUGGGCCUGCGAUACGGCCCAGACUCCUACGGGAGGCAGCAGUGGCGAAUCUUGCGCAAUGGGCGGAAGCCUGAUGCAGCAACGCCGCGUGCGGGAUGACCGCCUUCGGGUUGUAAACCGCUUUCGCCUGUGACGAAGCGUGAGUGACGGUAAUGGGUAAAGAAGCACCGGCUAACUACGUG
This 468-nucleotide ribosomal RNA is filed under the name uncultured bacterium. Its description in RNAcentral is "partial 16S ribosomal RNA". It matches the Rfam family "Bacterial small subunit ribosomal RNA", at positions 28 to 507 of the family's 1533-position model. The record is from RNAcentral.